This 244-nucleotide ribosomal RNA is filed under the name uncultured bacterium. Its description in RNAcentral is "partial 16S ribosomal RNA". It matches the Rfam family "Bacterial small subunit ribosomal RNA", at positions 524 to 765 of the family's 1533-position model. The record is from RNAcentral.
UACAGAGGGUGCGAGCGUUAAUCGGAAUUACUGGGCGUAAAGCGCGCGUAGGCGGCUUUGCAAGUCGGGUGUGAAAUCCCCAGGCUUAACCUGGGAACUGCAUUCGAGACUGCAUUGCUAGAGUAUGGGAGAGGGAAGUGGAAUUUCCGGUGUAGCGGUGAAAUGCGUAGAUAUCGGAAGGAACAUCAGUGGCGAAAGCGACUUCCUGGACCAAUACUGACGCUCAUGAUGCGGAAAGCGUGGG